GGAGUUAGCCGGUGCUUCUUCUGCGAGUAACGUCACAGAUGUAAGGUAUUAACUUACACCCUUUCCUCCUCGCUGAAAGUGCUUUACAACCCGAAGGCCUUCUUCACACACGCGGCAUGGCUGCAUCAGGGUUUCCCCCAUUGUGCAAUAUUCCCCACUGCUGCCUCCCGUAGGAGUCUGGGCCGUGUCUCAGUCCCAGUGUGGCUGAUCAUCCUCUCAGACCAGCUAGGGAUCGUCGCCUAGGUGAGCCUUUACCUCACCUACUAGCUAAUCCCACCUGGGCUUAUCCAUCAGCGCAAGGCCCGAAGGUCCCCUGCUUUCCCCCGUAGGGCGUAUGCGGUAUUAGCAGUCGUUUCCAACUGUUAUCCCCCACAAAUGGGCAAAUUCCCAGGCAUUACUCACCCGUCCGCCGCUCGUCAUCUUCAAAGCAAGCUUUUGAAAUGUUACCGCUCGACUUGCAUGUGUUAGGCCUGCCGCCAGCGUUCAAUCUGACGACAGACUACUAACUCUACGUACGUAGACGGGCGGGUCGUCGGACGACGGCCGACAGU
RNAcentral lists this ribosomal RNA (551 nucleotides) under uncultured bacterium. RNAcentral describes it as "partial 16S ribosomal RNA". The record is from RNAcentral.